AUUAUUAUUAUGUUAGUGGGAAAUGUGCUGAUGCAUACGAGUUUAUUUCUCCUUUGAUUUUAUUAAUGGGAAUUUUCUCUUUUGAAAAGGAUAAGUUUUUAGAUUUGAGAUGAUUUCUGAAAAGGAAAUUCAAAUUAUUGGUUUGCAUUGAAUAGAAUUCUGAUGAGAUUUCCUAUCAAUGAAAUAGAAUAUUUUUAAUUUUACAAUAUGGAUAAAAACGUCUAUGUUUUUAUUAGUUAUAUUACAUUGUACAAAUGCACAUUAAAUCCAUAGUCUAUGAACUUUUGAAAAGUCUAUAGUUAUUAAAGGCGCACUAAGG
This 319-nucleotide unclassified non-coding RNA is filed under the name Hevea brasiliensis (rubber tree). The record is from RNAcentral. Lineage: Eukaryota; Viridiplantae; Streptophyta; Magnoliopsida; Malpighiales; Euphorbiaceae.